CUGGAGACCGCCAGAGAACACAAAGAGGAGCAGAGAAGCCUGAGAUAUCCACAGAUCUACAAACGCCAAGCCCAAACUCUUGUUCCGAAUCAUUCUUGUUCCGACCAAACGCCACGCGCUUACAAAUCAUUCUUGUUCCGACCAAACUCUUGUGUUGUGCUUGUGUCACGAAAUUAAUCACUGAAAUUCCAAUCAAGUAGGAUAUGUCAUAUAUUAUCCUCUGUGUUAGUGAAAGCGAAUGCGUGAGCCGUGAGGAUGAGAUAUCCAUACAUAAUGAAUGACGGAGUUUAGAGUAGCAUGCCGAUUUCUUACCGGGAAUUGUAAUCGCAGCGACUGUUUGGCGAAACAUUUCAUUUCAUAUAGGGAUACAACUCAAUGACACAUCUAAAAAGUUUGAGAAGAAGUUUGCUUCUGGAGCUUCAGUUGUUCAGGUUUGUAGAAGAUACUACUGCGUGGCUUGCUAGGCUUGUUAUUUCAAAUAACUUAUUUGUGAGACAAAGGCCAUCCCCCCGUACUUCACAAAACAAAAUGGUUGGCAUUCUUGAAUACUGCAUGGCCUGCUAAGCUUCAAGCGCACAGUACGUACAUGUUCUUCUAUAUAUCCGUUUCCAUCUGCACUUGGCAAAGCCAAAAAAGCUAUAAAGACACUGAAAGAGCUACCAAUAAAUUUAAAUAUACAUACUUUAGCAACAAAGGAAGAGUUCUAAGUAUAUAUUAUUAUAAAAACAAACGAGCAUAUAUUAUCUGAAAAUGAUUAGUUGAAAUGUUUUAUAUAUAGAUGAACAUUUUUGCCAUGACGUGUGAAAAAAUUAGAGGAUUAUGUUAACACAAUGAUUAUUUGAUUGUUACAAAUGUUUUGAUAUUGAAAAAUGGGAUAUAGCGUUUAUGUUGAUUAGAGAAACAUAGAAAGAAACUGUUUCUAGGACACAUAUUUGAAAACUAUCAUGUGAAGAAGAUCAAAAUAAUUAAUUUCUAUAACCAAUACAGCAAAAUAUCAUACAUAUUUCUAAAAUCUACUAAAUAAUGUUAGAGAAAAUACUUUUUAAAUAUCUUGAUUGGGUGAUAUAUAUACUCCUUCUAUUUUAAUAUAGUAUUGAUGGUAUACGUCCUAUUUUAAUACAAAAUGUUUUAGAGAUUUUUUCUUUCACUUUACCUAUUUGCUAUAUUUGUAUUCUAUACUAGUUUUAUAUUUUGGUUGUUUAAUCAAUAACUUAUUCGUUUUUUAAUUUACGUCUAGUUCUUUUGCCCAAAAAAAAACUUUUCUAAUAAAUUUAAACGAAGGAAUUAUAAGAUAAAUAAGAAGAGGUGAUGUGUUCUUCUAAUUGGAUAGGAACAGGAUAAAUGAAAUGCUGACCAGAAGAAGAAGUGGUGUGUUCUUUAAACUGAUAAGAAUAGGAUAGGAAGAUGUGUUGUGUUCUUUUAAUUGGAUGAGACAUGCAGACCACUAAAGCAACUAAUUGUAUACGAUAAUACGAACUUUAUGAACUACGUCAAAUAAUCGACAAAAUUAUUAAUCAUAAAUAUGUUAAAAAGGAUUAUCACAACAAAUACCAGAAAUCAGUUGUUUGAAGUCCAAGACCGAAUGAUAUAUGGAAUCCUCGGGAUCUAUGAGUUUAUGGUCUAACAACAACAAGAAGUCACAACAACAAAAAUUGCCAUAUGGUUUAGGCCAUCCAUCUAAUUUUUUUAUGUAUGUAGUUUAUCUUUUUAGCUUAAGUUUGAUUAAAAAUACAUAUAAGAAAACAAUAAUUAUUUCAUGAAUUAUGGUAACUUAAAAUUCUUUUAGCAAAACUAUCUUGGUUUAACGGCCGUUUUGGAAAUAAUUUGGGUUGAUACCUUUUCUUACAAACCCUGACUAAUGUUUUGACGAGUUGAGCGAUUGGAAGGCAAAUAAUCUCUAUAUCUUUCACCCACACAUACUCUCUCGUGAACAUUUCUAUGUUAAAUUAAUAAGAGCUAAAUAUAUUUAUGAUUCAUAUUACGAUUCUCACAUAUGAACAAGUAUAAAUGCAGAUCAAUGGUUGGAUUUAUAUGUGCCACCAAUCCAAGUUAAGAUGUGGGAAAAACGUGCUUCAAUUCGUAACCAUGCGUACACAUAAGACAUGAGUCACAUGACUACAUGUAGACCAGACAUUUAUAUAUACUUGUCUGUAUCCUACAAAGUAGCACUAUUCUUUCUCCAUUCAUCAAAAUUUAAGAACAGAGCAUGUAAGUAAUCUCAUAACUGCUGGGAUAUAUGCGGCCCAUUUCCAACUCUUUAUUAUUGUCCGACUAAUAUGAUAUUGUCCAGUUUAAGUUUAAAAAAGCAUGAAUUUACUUCUAAUGUAUGGCUUGGAUUGAUAUCUCUUAUUCUCCCGUUCAAGCCAAGGACCACACUCAUCUUGUGUCCUUUCCUUCAACAAAUCAUUUUGGCACCAUCUUGUACCUUUAAUCGUAAAGUUACUUUGAGUUACUUUGAAGAUGGUCCCCUCACAACUAAACUUCGAGAAACUUUUAACUUGAUUUCUGCCACAUAAUGGUUUCAUUCCUAUUUGGAGGUAUUUUGGUAUUUUUGCAGAUUUUCGUCAUCCCGCUAUGGUACCAAUUAUGGUGAUUUUUGCAGUCUAUGUCCAACUUUUUAUUAUUUGAUUAGUACAACUUUAUCCAAUUUAUACUUAAAAAGCAAGUCCGCAUAAAUAUACUUGGGAAAAUUAUUUUUUUAGAGCAAAAAAAUGAUAACUAUGUCCUUUUAGACUAAUAUAUAUUUUGUGCAAGUUUUGUCUAUAAUACCCUUUAAUAUUUUUGAAAAUAAAUUUAA
This is a long non-coding RNA of Brassica napus (rape), 2797 nucleotides long. RefSeq lists it as uncharacterized. The transcript is spliced from 3 exons. NCBI's taxonomy places the organism in Eukaryota, Viridiplantae, Streptophyta, Magnoliopsida, Brassicales, Brassicaceae. The record is from RefSeq and is a predicted model, not a curated record.